AUGCCUGGCCCCGCAUACCGAGCAGAGCAUGAUCAGCAGCAGCCUAAGUGGAAGAGUGCCUGUGAUCCUAGGAAACCUGAUGGGCGCUGGAGCAGCGAUUCGACGCGUGGGUUUCUCUUUAAUCCUUCCGACUUCCCCAAGCCCCGCGCACUCAGGUUCCGCUCCAAGUGCGGGACCCGCCCGGGGUGUGUCGGGGGUACUCGGCCGGAGGCGGCCGGUGAGUGGGGCUUACAGGGCCCCGGGACCAAGGAACCCCAGCAUGUGAAUUGGACUUUAUCCCCCAGUUGGAGGAAGAAUAACAGUAGAUGUUGGAUCUUCAGGAAAGCUGAAGAGGGCAGUGCCUCUACUGUCUAGGUAAGUAGUGUCAUAAGAAGACCACCAAUUUGAUGUUGAGAAGAUGAGUUCUAGUCCAAGCCCUUGCAAUUUGUUGGGUCAUGUAGGCAAGUGACUCAAUCUGUUUUCUAUCUGUCAGAUGAGUGGGUUGGCCUAGAUGAUGUCUAAGUUCUGCUAAAUCUCUGAUAGUCUAGGACUGUAGACUUCUUUAGAAGAAUACCUGAAGUAUAAUAAUUGGAAGAAGGGUUGAGAGGCAAAUGGGAAGAGCAGUGUGGUAGUUAUUAUUUCUGAAAUUUUUAUUCUCUUUCAAUCCCAGGAAAAUGAUUGCAUUCAGGCUUGAUCAAGUCAUCUUUCUUUUUUCCAUUUCUUUUUUCUACGCUUGAGAGUCUCGAUUCUUCUCAUCCUUCUCCUUGCUCUCAUUUUCCAUGACUAAUCAGCUACCAUAAAAGCUACCUUUUAAUCCCCAACUCUCUGUCAUCAGCUGGUACACCUGCUCAUUUCCAUUUGUUUGGGUUAGCAUAUUACCCAAUAACUCUUUCGAUAUUUCUUGAUGUCUCUGUGUUCACCAUGCCCACUGCAAAAAUUCUGCCUCUUAUCUCUUCUGGCUUUGUUCUCCUCCACUACCCUUUUUUGUUUUCUCCUCACAUAAAGUUGCUAGUAUGCAUGAAUUCAAAUUAGUUGUCUUUUCUCUGCUGGUUUAUUUUCUUUGCUCUCCACAGUAGACACAGGUGACAUUUACACUUUAAAUGUCUUUCAGAUAGAGGGAUUUGACCUGAACCAAAGCAUCAACACCAAUCAGACUUUUUCCAAAAAAC
RNAcentral lists this long non-coding RNA (1148 nucleotides) under Papio anubis (olive baboon). RNAcentral's name for it is "lncRNA (ENSPANG00000043749.1)". Lineage: Eukaryota; Metazoa; Chordata; Mammalia; Primates; Cercopithecidae. The record is from RNAcentral.